Molecule: ribosomal RNA, 253 nt
Filed under: uncultured bacterium
Lineage: Bacteria
Description: partial 16S ribosomal RNA
Rfam family: Bacterial small subunit ribosomal RNA
Source: RNAcentral
UACGGGGGGGGCAAGCGUUGUUCGGAAUUACUGGGCGUAAAGGGCGCGUAGGCGGGCGGACAAGUCUCUCGUGAAAGCCCACGGCUCAACCGUGGAAGUGCGGGGGAUACUGUCUGUCUUGAGUCCGGGAGAGGAGGGUGGAAUUCCCAGUGUAGCGGUGAAAUGCGUAGAUAUUAGGAAGAACACCGGUGGCGAAGGCGGCCCUCUGGACCGAUACUGACGCUGAGACGCGAAAGCGUGGGGAGCAAACAGG